Molecule: long non-coding RNA, 7959 nt
Organism: Gavialis gangeticus (Gharial)
Lineage: Eukaryota; Metazoa; Chordata; Crocodylia; Gavialidae
Exons: 2
Source: RefSeq, a predicted model, not a curated record
GUUUUUUUUUUUCCUUAUGCCCAUGUAAGUUUGAAGAUGCCUGAUAACCUUUGCACUGUAGAAACAUGUUGAGGUUGGGGGAUGGACCAGCUGCAUAGAGCACAGCUGUCUGUACUACAGUUCAACAAAACUCCAGGAUCACUUGGUUGAAGGUCAAAGUAAAAUCAGGUUCAGUCCCUUGCAAACUAAAUUGCCUUAAUCAUGUUAUAGGACAGCUUUGUAUGGGUGGGGGACAGGGGAUACCUUUCAAGGCACUUUCAGUGUAAAGUGGUCCUUAGAUAUAGCUAAGGCAAAUGCUACACAAAUGGCACCUGAGAUUAAGAAACUUUCUGAUGGAGAAUCCUAGCCAUGAAACAAGCCAGCAACUUUUAUUUAUUUUUUUCACUUUGUGUGCAAAAUCCAAAAGGUUGGCCAAUGGUUAACUUGUUGAUCACGAGAAUUGCUGUCUUGGGUUGUCUAACGCCCUUGUAACACUUAUCUGUUGAGUCCCAGAAAUUGCACCUAUACUCGGACAGGUAAUCAUUUUCUUGAUAUUGCAUGUGUGCUGCAUACGCCCUAAAAUUAGCAGUUCUUGCUACUUUUUAUUAACAGUUCAGAGUUGCCCCUAAAAUAUUCAGUGGUGAAUAUCUCGCAUAUUUGGCAGUUGCUCUACUAUGAUUAUGUGCCUUUUACUUUCCUUAGAGACCAAGAGUACCAGUGUUGUAAAUGAACCUACUUUCAGCGGUUCAACUAAACAAGCUUAGGGUAAGCUUGUGGAGAGGUGGUGAUAUGGGGUUGUAUUAAAGAGGCAGCAAACAUACUUCCUGUCUGCUUGAAAAUAUUUACCUAAAUAUUGGAUUGAUGAUUACUUUUAACUCCAUUUAUUUUUAUUUUUUGAUAGCCCUAUCUUUAUCGGUAAAUUAUUGGCAAAUGAACAAGUACAUCGUUUAACAACAGUGGGGACUUGCUGCAAAAUACCUGAAGCAUGGCAAUAGUGUGCCUGCUCUUACCUUUGCUAGGUUCAAAAAGUAAACUGGAGCAGUUUAUUUUCAGUAAAACAGGGUGAUGCCUUUAUGUCCAAGGCCAGUCACUGCAGGGUAAGAGCAGUGGGACAGGUAAUGCACAGUAAAUCCCCUAUCCUGUGCAGUCUGAGAGAGGUGUGUCUAUACUUGUCUUUGUUUCCCCUUGCAGAAGUCCUGGGCAGUGGGGGGCAUGGGGUAGGCCAGCCAGGGACAAAUCUGAGCCUGUGCUUAUCUACUUCUCUCAAACCUCUGGGCACUCUUCAAAACAUCUGGUGGUACUCUGGUUGCCAGUCACUGGCCUAAGGACAUAGGAAAGUUGAGGUGAGUGAACUAAAAUUGUAGCUGUAAUGUGUAUCAAGCCCUCCAUGGAUAUUUUCAUUCAGAAGUGGCCUUGGUUUUAUUUGUUUGCAGUUCAAAUCAGAGAGGAAUAUUGGAAUAUAAAAGUACCCAUUAAAUUAAAGAAACCAAUCUGCGAAUAAAGCUUUGUGACUUGGAAUAUUCCAUUUCAGUAAUGGAUAUAGGCUAUGUUGUGUUUGUUAUAAAUGUGAAACAGUUUAGUUUUUUUUCCAAGCUGAGUAAGGGACAGGGUGUUCUUAAAAAAUAGACUAAAUUACAAACUUUAAUUCCUGUAGUCUGAAGAAACUUAAAAAAAAAAAAAAAAAAAAAAGUUUGUGUGGGGGCAAAUAAUAGGAGACAGCGUUAUGUCCUGUUUUUGGUGACUGCAGCCUGUAUCGUGUGAUGUGCAAGUGGUAGUUUAAACCCCUGAUUUGUUUAAAAGAAAAAUACAGUAGCCUAUUCUGGUGCUUUUAACUUAUCCUGGUUACUUUAAGAAUACAGUAGAUGUCUGUGGUCUUUGUUACUGGUGUGAUGCAGAAAUGACCAAACUAAAAGAAAACAUUGCUUAAGCACACUAAGCUGAGGGGAGGGGGGUGCAGCAGAAGCAAAUGGGCUUUGUCUACACUGAAGACCCCCGCUGAGGUUCAGUGCACUUGGUGUCCAUGACAGCCCUUUAGAUUUGUCCCCUGUUCACACUCAAAAUGUCCUAAAAGGUUGUGGCUGCAAUGUUUUGAGUAAUACCUUCCUUACCAGCUCAACCUCCAGUGCAUUCUGGGUGGUGGUAGGCCACCAGCAAGCAUUGUGGAAUACUAUUAGGGGGUCUAGUUGAACCGUUUCACUUAAUCUGUACUUGCUCUCGCCUAAAGAUGAGUAAGACAAAUGUAAGAAGACCUAGUUCUCCUGAAGCAUGUUAAUUACCAAAGGUUGUUAUCCCUGUCCCCUCCCUCCCCAUCAUUUGGAGCAUCUUUAUAUAGCGGAUCGGCCUUUUUCGGUUAAAAACAAACAAACAUCAAUAACUGUGAAAUAUUUUUAAGCAAAACAAUCUUUCAGCUUGUAGAUAUAUGUAGUAAAUUAGCGUGGUCAAAAGUACGCCCAAAAAACUUGUAUUCUUUAACCACAAAUGCAGCUUACUACGUGAGUCAUCUGUUGCCUGAUGCAUAAUUUUUUUAAAUACAUAAGAUGAGUGGUUUACCUGUUUGCUGUUUCUAAAAGUUAAGAGAAUAUGUUUCUGCAUUCACUGUAAAAUAUAGGGCAGAUAGUGAUGCAACAAAUGGUUACACAGUGUUAAAAGCUAGUUUGGUACCAUGAUUUGAAUAUGAACAUUUUACAUUGUUUUAGACCAUUUACUAAUUAACACUUGUAUCACUGCACACACAUCAGCUGUUUAUUUGAAUAUUGGCAUUUUUACUACAAUAGAAUUUGAUGCAAGGGUUACUGCUAAUUGCUUUUUCCCCUGGAGUAAGUUUAUUCUUUGAAUCAAAUGGUUAUUGUAAAAGCUAUGCUUUCUCUGAGAAAUUUCUGUGCAUCCUAGAUUGGGAUUUUUAAAGGAGGCAAGGGAGUCGGCUCUUUUUCUUGGACAUUCCUUAGGCGACACUGGCUUUAAUUUUCUUCCUCUAAAAACUGUUUGUAGUAUGGUAUUUCCUUAGUUUGGAAAAAGGGGAGGAAGAUUUAUAGUUACUCUUGAACUGAGAUCUCAGCUGGCUUCAUAGUUCCAACAGCCCUCUAAUACUCACUUUUCAUACUCAUGAACUUAUCACAGAUUUUCAGACUGUACCUACAAUAAGGAAUUAAAUAAAAAUCCCAUUAGAGGUUGCACAGAUUCAGAUUUCACCCGUGGGAAUCCUGUAUUUAACAAAGUGUGGCACUACUUGAGCUUUAAACCAGGCUACUGCUGCUGCAUCUGAACUGGCAAGAGUACCUUUUGGACCUCUGCCGAACACCUUUUGUAGUCUGGACCUUAAUAUCCUUUAUUGCUGUCGGAAAAGCAGCAGACUUGGAGCACUAGAUACCGCAGAUGGUCAGCUAUCCAAAUAACUAAAACCAAAGCUUCUUAGGUUUGGAAACUAGAUACCAAAACCAGUUAGACUAAUAUAAUCUAUUUUGAAGCUUCCAGCUGUUAUCCCCCUGAAUUCUGAUUUAUAGAAUGUCAUUCCCAGCUAUGUUUAUAGAUGGGCAAUGUUUAAUUAAAAAAAGAAAAGAAAUUGGCACAUUUUUUCACUCAAAUAUCUUAAGCUGUUUACUGGGUUUAAUCUUUUGUAUGUUAUAGGCACAAAUCUGGAAACCUGCCUGCUUUAAAUGUCCAUUGCUCUUUCCUAUGUAUUAGGAAAUCAAUAGCACUUGUAAAAGUGAAUCUGUGUAGCUGUUAAUGAGAUGUGAUGCAUAGUUGCUCAAUGUCAUCAAAUACAGGACUGGCUGAUGAACAUUCCCGGAACUGUCCUUCCAAAUGAGGUGAAACAAUAAAUCCAAACCAAUUUAGCAGUUCAAAUGUUGGAUUCGUUUUUUAUACGAUAGGCAGCUGUUUUUGUGUGUCAUGGAAGCUCCAUCUUCCAUUUAAGCAAUGGACAGGAUGGUCUUUCUUAAAGCUUAUAUCUUAAAAAUAUACGGCUCACAAUCCAAGAAUUUUAAAGACUAUAUCAAACAAUUCCAGCAAUAUACCCAUCUGUGCCAUGCCGGAGGCUUGGUAUGCCACAAGUAGGACGCUGUGAAAUGAUAUAUUCAUUAGAAGACUUAGAGGUAAUUGUCCAUUUUUUUUCUAAUCUUUCAGCUAAAGUUAAUACAAUAGGUAUCGCAAUACUGAUUAACUGAAGCAGAAGAGUCUCUUAAAAUACCUUCACUACAGAGGGAGACUGCAUCUAGUGAACUGAAACAGCAUGAGAAAUCUGAGCCCUCAAAUUAUGUGACACAAACUUUAUAGAGGAAUAGAAACCAGGGCUUAGAGUGGGCUGAAUCCCAAAAUAGAGUUGACAAGGUUUAUGAUUUUAGAUUGAACAAUGUCUUAUUUGUCUGAGGUCCUGAGCGAGCUCAUAAGAGAGUCUUCAUUAGGUGUCAGCAGACUACCUGGCAAAUAUGGAUUCAAAUAGGCAAAGGAAUGUGCCUGUGGAAAAACAGCACCCCCUAAGCCUUUUAAUGCUGCACCUGUAGCUUGUAUGCUUGUGCUAGGAGUUGCAUCAUAAUGUCCUACCUCAUAAUGGUCUGCUGAACAAAGCAGUGUGCCCUAGUUUAUUUGACAUGUUAAGAACGAGAAAUGGAAAAUAAAAUCUAAAACGGAGGAAGGAAACCAGAGGAAAUGAGCAACCAAGGGUAAUGGUGAUUUAGGCCUAGACUCGGGAUGUGGCGGGGGAGAGUUUUCUCUAGCAUAGAUGGACCGGUUUAUGCCAGUAUGCCAAAAUUGCUCUUCAGCACUAGGCACAGGGGUAUAGGCUGUAGCUGUGUUGAUCUAAGGACAUAGGCAGAUAAGGAGUUGGUCUAAAAGAAGAUAUCAGAUCUACCCAAAGAACCUUGUCUGCCAGUUAAACUUUCCAGCAUGGUUAUGAUUUGCAUCAGUAGCCUGCCCAAACUAAGGAGGGUAUUAGUCAAGUCUUAAGGCAUUGGUUUGGCAGGGAGCAGCAGACAUAACCCUGCACACCUGCAAAUUGGCAAACUGCUAUGUUCUGCCUCUGAAAAGUUUCCUCCUGCGUGACCUAGCUAAGAGUCAGUGAUGCUACAACCCAACAACAAGGCUCUAGACACUAAAUCACAUCCCCUCCCAGAAUGGGGAAACAAGCAUCUUCUGCUUUUCUUUAAAUUACUUUAAAAUGUGUUGUGUGCGCAUAUGUUCAGUUUAGGGCAAAUAUAUAACCAUUAGGGCAAUUUUUUCUACAGAGAACAUUUUUAGUAGCAUUAGCAUAGUGUUGAUUUAUUAUCUGGUUUCUUUCACUUCCCUUUGGUCCAUUUACAGGAACGUGGACCUCCAUCGCCUUCUCCUGAAGCAUUUCGUCCUGUUUAGUGUAACAUGUUCCUGUGAUGCUCCUUUUCAGAUGACCCCAGUAUAGUUACAAUAUGGAUUUAGGGAAGGCAGUUUGCAUCUGUGCUGUAUUUGGCUGUGGGUGAGGAUAUUUACUCUUAUUUUUUUUUAAAUCAAGGUGGAGCAGUAAGAAUGGCUUUGCAGCUUAGCUGUUUGUUGUUACUUUGUGCAAGCAGAGCAGUAACUUUUUGUGUUCUAAAAUUCAUAGCCAGAUUCCAAUCGUGGCCAUUCCUUGUCUUCAUAAUGUUCUAAAUUUGAAGGGUUUGGGGGGUGGGGUGGAGUAUCACCAUGACUCAAACUAUUUAAAUAUAGAGCAAAGGGUUGAUACUGCAUAUUAGAAUCCAGAAAAGUUGCAUUUUUGUCGCGGUGGAUAUGCAGGCUAGUGGUAAAGCAAGAUUAACAUAACUGUACAUCUGCCGCUAGAGGGCAACAUUCGCAGUUUAAAAAAAAAACCUCAUCUACCAUCACUUUUUUUUUCUGCUGCAGCUGAGUCUGGGGUUGCACGGGAUCUUUCCGUAUUGCCUGUGUAGAAAGAAUACUGGACAUUUGGAGAUAGUUUAAUGAUAAGAAUGUAGGCCUCGUUCACUUGAGUCAAAACCUUUAGGGUGCCGUAAUGAAUCCAGUGGGUUUAUGUCUGACAUUUAGGCUGCCAAAAACACACGGACCCCCAGAUCUGCAAAUAUCCUUACUGUGAAUCCCUAUUGGAUUCUCACAAAGGGUGUCCUGCUAAUUUGGGGACCUUACAAGGUUAUCCUAAUCCUAGUAAGAGUUGUUUUGCUGAACAUUUUACCUUGGUUUAUCCUGGGAAAAAGACAAAAGAUAGGCUGACUGCUCUGAAGUACAGCAAAUUUGUACAGUAGUACAAAUUACUUCUUUUGAGUACCCAAAGAUGUGAUAAGCAUGUUACAAAGGGAAUGAAAACAUAAGACUUUUGUUUUGGUUCUUUUCCACCUCAAAUGUCUCUGAUCUUUGGUGCUUGAAGCUUUGGGCAUUCAAACAGACCCAUUUGCACUUAGUACUGAUCACUCUUGAUUCCACUUGAAGUGCAGUGGAGUUGCUGGGGCUGAGGACUUCUGAAGAUCAAGUCCAAGAGAUCCCUCACUGGGCUCUCCAGUAUCAACUGGCUGCUUUCAAUGGUUGCUUUUGAGCUGAUGCUCCCUGCUCUAAAGCUUACAAUCUAAGUGAGACCCAUUAGACUUUCACCAAUUGAUUCUUUACUGGUAGGGAUCACAGAUGCCAGAAGUUAGAGAGACUUUUCUAAAUAAAAAUACUUUGAGCAGCCAAGACUUGAAGAUGCAGACUUGGAAUUGGUGCUACAUGUUGAGUCAGAAUGUGCCAGCUUUACACACAUGCUUCAGGAAACCUCCAAACUUUUUGACUUGCUAAUUACUUGGAACACAGUCAUGAGAAAAUUCCCAUCACGAAGCAUGAGUAACUUCUGGACAGCGAGUAAAAUAUCUUCAUUUUCAUGCCCCUCAAUCUUGUAGGAAGUGGCAGGCAAAGUUUUUUGUGCCAGGCACAACUUUUACAAGGCUCUAUAAAGGCAAUCGCUGCUUCCUUGACUGUAUCUUUGUCCCAGCCCAGCACUUGCUACCCACUGAGUGCUCUAGUCUUGCCAUUGGUACUAGACUAGGCUACAUAAGGUGAGGUCUUCUGUCAGUGGCCUUUAAACUCAGAGGCGGGUACCUUGUGAGUUAGUAGUCACUUGUGUAAUACCUCUGUGCUGCUCAGGGGCUUGGCAGAGGACACUAAUGGUGGAGCCUACCUUUGCUCCUUUUGUCAUAAGUGGGGAGCUUUGCCAUUUUGCAUUCAAAGAGAAGGAUGAGAGCUCUCAUUUCACUACUGCUUUUAGUGUUGUUACUUUUGCUGUUUGCUUUUAUGGCUUUGGGCUGUGCUCUAGGGGGAUAUGACUAGAUGGGCACUAGUAGGAUCUGAGUUAAAAUCUUCCCACUGAUCCCGUCCAAAGGGAACAUCUGGGCAACCUUCUCCUCCGGUCUGCAGAAUCCUGUAUGAAAUUCUGGUUGUGUUUGUCUGUAAGGAAACAGGCAACAUUGUUUAAACUGCAGGACUAGGUGGCAGGAGCCUUAGUUGCUAUUCCCAGCCUUCCUUCAUAUACUAUGUGACAUUGGCUGACUUAAUUUCCCUAUGCCUAAGUUUAGAGUAGAGAUGACAAAAUAUAGUUUUACCUCUGUUAUAUUUGCACAGGUUCUUGGGUAGAAGGCACUGUAGAAGGGCAGCUUAUUAAAUUAUUAUCAUGGAUAAAAUUUAAAAGAAAUUGAACUAAGGUAAAAAUGAGUGAAGGUACCCAGCAGAGUGCCUCCUAUUAGGGUGGAAGUUUAAAAGGCUAGGGUUAUAUCAUUUAAAAAGGAGAUGGAGUAUUACAUGGUUUGGCCAAGGCUUUUGGACACUUCUGCACAUCUCUUUCCACACUACGAGAGCACUGAAUGAAUGGAAAAGCAAACAAGAAAGCAAAUUCUCCUCUGCUCUGUACAAUUAACCUUUGGAACUUGUUGCUACAGAACAUGAUGGGGGGGGGGAAAUAGCUUUGGAAAAUUCAUAGAUGAUUAUAAGAAUCACUCCUGCAAUUACGUUAGGUGGAAUAAAAAUAGGAAGUGUUGU